GCGAGCGUGCUACCACUUGAGCCACAUCCCCAGCCCUAGAUCUUUGAUUAUUAUUGCUUAUAGCAAAUGAGUAAAAACUUAUUGUGAGUUUUCUGGUUUAACUACAUUAAAUAUCAGCUUAAAAAUAAAUUUUAGGGCUGGGGAUGUGGCUCAAGCGGUAGCGCGCUCGC
This 170-nucleotide microRNA precursor is filed under the name Marmota monax (woodchuck). Lineage: Eukaryota; Metazoa; Chordata; Mammalia; Rodentia; Sciuridae. The record is from RNAcentral.